GCCUUAGAUGCAACUUCCGACUAGUCCUAAUGAAUAAUCCUCAAGAUGUAACCUAUAAUUUGAUAGAAGAGGUGGAUAAAAACCACAUUGUAUGGGGAAGCAUGUGACAAGUUACAACUAAGUAUACCCCUAAGAUCGAUGGUAUCUAUAAGGUUAAUGCGAAGUUAAUGGGCAUACUGAUAGACAUUGUCAAAUGAUCAUCAUGGGAGGAUCCAUUCAAGAAAAUGCUAACUUUGUGAACAAUAAGCAAAGGAAC
RNAcentral lists this long non-coding RNA (256 nucleotides) under Lathyrus oleraceus (garden pea). Its description in RNAcentral is "Pisum sativum (pea) long non-coding RNA (PSAT_LNC003506)". The record is from RNAcentral. Lineage: Eukaryota; Viridiplantae; Streptophyta; Magnoliopsida; Fabales; Fabaceae.